This 350-nucleotide ribosomal RNA is filed under the name uncultured eukaryote. RNAcentral describes it as "SSU rRNA". It matches the Rfam family "Eukaryotic small subunit ribosomal RNA", at positions 567 to 910 of the family's 1831-position model. The record is from RNAcentral.
CCAGCAGCUGCGGUAAUUCCAGCUCUUCUAGUGUACAUCGAAGUUGAUGCAGUUAAAAAGCUCGUAGUCGGAGAUGUUGGAGUCGGGGAAAAACUGCUUGGCGUCCGAAAGGAUGUCCAGGCGACCCGCUCCAUUUAUUUUUGAAUGGAUGUUCAUUUGUAGCAAUACAGGUGGACCUCUCCUUCAAAUCGUUUACUUUGAGGAAAUUAGAGUGUUCAUAACAGUCGUUUGACUGAAUAUUUUAGCAUGGGAUAAUGAAAUAUGACAUACAGCUUGUAUUUUAUGGUUUUUUGAAGCAGUAGUAAUGAUUAAUGGGAGUAGAUGGGGCUGCCUGUAUUGAGAAGCUAGAG